Molecule: ribosomal RNA, 870 nt
Filed under: Ravinia sp. SNK-2009
Lineage: Eukaryota; Metazoa; Arthropoda; Insecta; Diptera; Sarcophagidae
Description: eukaryotic LSU rRNA
Rfam family: Eukaryotic large subunit ribosomal RNA
Source: RNAcentral
GUUCAGCACUAAGUCACUUUGUCUUUAUGGCAAAUGUGAGAUGCAGUGUAUGGAAUGUCAAAUUUCUAGUAUGAGAAAUUAACGAUUUAAGUCCUUCUUAAAUGAGGCCAUUUACCCACAGAGGGUGCCAGGCCCGUAUAACGUUAAUGAUUACUAGAUGGCAUUUCCAAAGAGUCGUGUUGCUUGAUAGUGCAGCACUAAGUGGGUGGUAAACUCCAUCUAAAACUAAAUAUAACCAUGAGACCGAUAGUAAACAAGUACCGUGAGGGAAAGUUGAAAAGAACUCUGAAUAGAGAGUUAAAUAGUACGUGAAACUGCUUAGAGGUUAAGCCCGAUGAACCUGAAUAUCCAUUAUAGAAAAUUCAUCAUUAUGAUUUUAAUAUUAAUAAUAUUAUAAUAAUAGUGUGCAUUUUUUCUAUAAGGGACAUUGUAAUCUAUUAACAUAAAUAUAUUUAUCAUAAGAUCAAUGAUGCGUAAGUUUAUUUAAAUUAUUUUGCUUGCAAUUUAACAUAGAAUAAAUGCUCUUGAUUUGAUAAAGUGUUGAUAGAUUUAUUGUAUAUAGUGCUUAAAUAUUUAUAUUUUAUAAUAGCAUAUUAAUCAUUGAUUUUUAUGUUUAUUAUAUGCACUUAUAUGAUUUACAAUGCGAAAGAUUCAGGAUACCUUCGGGACCCGUCUUGAAACACGGACCAAGGAGUCUAACAUAUUUGCAAGUUAUUGGGUAUCAAAACCUAAUAGCGAAAUUAACAUAACUUUUUAUGGGAUUAGUUUUUAGAUUAUUUAUAGUCUAUUAAUUCAAUCCCGGGGCGUUCUAUAUAGUUAUGUAUAAUAAUAUUUAUAUUAUUUAUACCUCUAACUAGAGCGUACCUUGAG